RNAcentral lists this unclassified non-coding RNA (253 nucleotides) under uncultured Alphaproteobacteria bacterium. RNAcentral describes it as "contains 16S-23S intergenic spacer region". It matches the Rfam family "Bacterial small subunit ribosomal RNA", at positions 524 to 776 of the family's 1533-position model. Lineage: Bacteria; Pseudomonadati; Pseudomonadota; Alphaproteobacteria. The record is from RNAcentral.
UACGGAGGGGGCUAGCGUUGUUCGGAAUUACUGGGCGUAAAGCGCGCGUAGGCGGCUAGCGUAGUUAGGUGUGAAAGCCCCGGGCUCAACCCGGGAAUUGCACUUGAUACUGGCUGGCUAGAGUUCGGAAGAGGAGAGUGGAAUUCCCAGUGUAGAGGUGAAAUUCAUAGAUAUUGGGAAGAACACCAGUGGCGAAGGCGGCUCUCUGGUCCGAUACUGACGCUGAGGCGCGAAAGCGUGGGGAGCAAACAGG